GUAGGUGGCAAGCGUUGUCCGGAACUAUUGGGCGUAAAGCGCGCGCAGGCGGUCCUUUAAGUCUGAUGUGAAAGCCCACGGCUCAACCGUGGAGGGUCAUUGGAAACUGGGGGACUUGAGUACAGAAGAGGAAAGCGGAAUUCCAAGUGUAGCGGUGAAAUGCGUAGAGAUUUGGAGGAACACCAGUGGCGAAGGCGGCUUUCUGGUCUGUAACUGACGCUGAGGCGCGAAAGCGUGGGGAGCAAACAGGAUUAGAUACCCUGGUAGUCCACGCCGUAAACGAUGAGUGCUAAGUGUUAGGGGGUUUCCCGCCCCCCUUAGUGCUGCAGCUAACGCAUUAAGCACUCCGCCUGGGGAGUACGGCCCGCAAGGCUG
RNAcentral lists this ribosomal RNA (375 nucleotides) under uncultured organism. RNAcentral's name for it is "partial 16S ribosomal RNA". It matches the Rfam family "Bacterial small subunit ribosomal RNA", at positions 527 to 896 of the family's 1533-position model. The record is from RNAcentral.